Molecule: non-coding RNA, 45 nt
Filed under: Schistosoma haematobium
Lineage: Eukaryota; Metazoa; Platyhelminthes; Trematoda; Strigeidida; Schistosomatidae
Source: RNAcentral
AUCCGGCUGAGGAGUCCCAAAUUGGACGAAACGCACGUCUUGGAU